UACAGAGGGGGCAAGCGUUAUUCGGAAUUAUUGGGCGUAAAGGGCGCGUAGGCGGCGAUUCAAGUGACGGGUGAAAUCCCUCGGCUUAACCGAGGAACUGCCUGUCAGACUGGAUUGCUUGAGGCCGGGAGAGGCGAGUGGAAUUCCCAGUGUAGCGGUGAAAUGCGUAGAUAUCAGGAGGAACACCGAUGGCGAGGGCAGCUCGCUGGGACGGUACUGACGCUGAGACGCGAAAGCGUGGGGAGCAAACAGG
Molecule: ribosomal RNA, 253 nt
Filed under: uncultured bacterium
Lineage: Bacteria
Description: partial 16S ribosomal RNA
Rfam family: Bacterial small subunit ribosomal RNA
Source: RNAcentral